AGCCCCGUAGUGUAGUGGUCAAACUUAUCUUUUAUUAAAAGAUGAGGACUAAGCAUUGAGGUCUCUGGAACCUCAGACCCCGGUUCGAAUCCGGGCGGGGCUA
This 103-nucleotide transfer RNA is filed under the name Nanobdellota archaeon. RNAcentral's name for it is "tRNA-Gln". It matches the Rfam family "tRNA". Rfam says of the family: Transfer RNA (tRNA) molecules are approximately 80 nucleotides in length. The record is from RNAcentral. Lineage: Archaea; Nanobdellati; Nanobdellota.